RNAcentral lists this ribosomal RNA (483 nucleotides) under uncultured bacterium. Its description in RNAcentral is "partial 16S ribosomal RNA". It matches the Rfam family "Bacterial small subunit ribosomal RNA", at positions 29 to 507 of the family's 1533-position model. The record is from RNAcentral.
AUUGAACGCUGGCGGCAUGCCUAACACAUGCAAGUCGAGCGGUUGAAGGGAGCUUGCUUCUGGAUUCAGCGGCGGACGGGUGAGUAAUGCCUAGGAAUCUGCCUGGUAGUGGGGGAUAACGUCCGGAAACGGGCGCUAAUACCGCAUACGUUCUGAGGGAGAAAGUGGGGGAUUUUCUGACCUCACGCUAUCAGCUGAGCCUAGGUAUGAUUAGCGAGUUGGUGGGGUAAAUGCAUAACAAGGCGCAGACCCGUAACUGGUGUGAGAGGAAGAUCAGUCACAGGGGAAGUGAGACACGGUAAAGACCCACACGGGAGGGAGGAGGGGAGAAUAUGGGAAGAUGGGAGAGAGCGUGAGACAGACACGGCGCGUGUGAGAAGGAGGUCUUCAGAGUAUAAAGCUCUUUGAGGUGGGGAGAAGGGGAGUAAGUUAAUAGCUCGCUGAGUGGACGUUACCAACAGAUAAGCACCGGCUAACUACGUG